UCUUCAUUUAACAACCGUUAGAAAAUGUCAUUUGAAAAACACAGGCAAUCAUCAUGCUUAUUUUAAGGUCCAUAAUACCCAACCGCUGGCCGGUAUGAUUGUAUCACCCGAACAAGGUGUGGUGCCCGUUGGUGGUACUGCUGAAAUUGAGGUUGCAUUCACUCCAGAUUUGGUGCAAAAAUUCGACUCUGUGAUCGAAGUGAAUAUCUUGGGA
This is a long non-coding RNA of Xenia sp. Carnegie-2017, 214 nucleotides long. RefSeq lists it as uncharacterized. NCBI's taxonomy places the organism in Eukaryota, Metazoa, Cnidaria, Anthozoa, Malacalcyonacea, Xeniidae. The record is from RefSeq and is a predicted model, not a curated record. The transcript is spliced from 3 exons.